CAAGUCGAACGGGAUCCAUCAAGCUUGCUUGGUGGUGAGAGUGGCGAACGGGUGAGUAAUGCGUGACCGACCUGCCCCAUACACCGGAAUAGCUCCUGGAAACGGGUGGUAAUGCCGGAUGCUCCGACUCCUCGCAUGGGGUGUCGGGAAAGAUUUCAUCGGUAUGGGAUGGGGUCGCGUCCUAUCAGGUAGUCGGCGGGGUAACGGCCCACCGAGCCUACGACGGGUAGCCGGCCUGAGAGGGCGACCGGCCACAUUGGGACUGAGAUACGGCCCAGACUCCUACGGGAGGCAGCAGUGGGGAAUAUUGCACAAUGGGCGCAAGCCUGAUGCAGCGACGCCGCGUGCGGGAUGACGGCCUUCGGGUUGUAAACCGCUUUUGAUCGGGAGCAAGCCUUCGGGUGAGUGUACCUUUCGAAUAAGCACCGGCUAACUACGUGCCAGCAGCCGCGGUAAUACGUAGGGUGCAAGCGUUAUCCGGAAUUAUUGGGCGUAAAGGGCUCGUAGGCGGUUCGUCGCGUCCGGUGUGAAAGUCCAUCGCUUAACGGUGGAUCUGCGCCGGGUACGGGCGGGCUGGAGUGCGGUAGGGGAGACUGGAAUUCCCGGUGUAACGGUGGAAUGUGUAGAUAUCGGGAAGAACACCAAUGGCGAAGGCAGGUCUCUGGGCCGUUACUGACGCUGAGGAGCGAAAGCGUGGGGAGCGAACAGGAUUAGAUACCCUGGUAGUCCACGCCGUAAACGGUGGAUGCUGGAUGUGGGGCCCGUUCCACGGGUUCCGUGUCGGAGCUAACGCGUUAAGCAUCCCGCCUGGGGAGUACGGCCGCAAGGCUAAAACUCAAAGAAAUUGACGGGGGCCCGCACAAGCGGCGGAGCAUGCGGAUUAAUUCGAUGCAACGCGAAGAACCUUACCUGGGCUUGACAUGUUCCCGACAGCCGUAGAGAUAUGGCCUCCCUUCGGGGCGGGUUCACAGGUGGUGCAUGGUCGUCGUCAGCUCGUGUCGUGAGAUGUUGGGUUAAGUCCCGCAACG
Molecule: ribosomal RNA, 1028 nt
Filed under: Bifidobacterium sp.
Lineage: Bacteria; Bacillati; Actinomycetota; Actinomycetes; Bifidobacteriales; Bifidobacteriaceae
Description: bacterial SSU rRNA
Rfam family: Bacterial small subunit ribosomal RNA
Source: RNAcentral